RNAcentral lists this long non-coding RNA (392 nucleotides) under Phoenix dactylifera (date palm). Its description in RNAcentral is "long non-coding RNA (PDAC_LNC001705)". Lineage: Eukaryota; Viridiplantae; Streptophyta; Magnoliopsida; Arecales; Arecaceae. The record is from RNAcentral.
UUGAAGCCCGGUAUUUCUUUCAUCUUUCAUUAAGUGUGCCUCAACUAACUGAUUCAUUUUAAUAAUAAGCAAUUGUUUCAUAUCAUGAUCGGAUCACUUCUUAUAUUUUCCACUCAGAGGUGAACAAACUAAACAGGUCAGUUAUGCUUUUGAUCAAAGGUCAGUUGCAUUGAUUCAACCAUAAAGAAGCAUCGCAUGCAUUUUGUGCAUGCUCUGUACCUUAAGAAAGAAAAUCCAUGUGAUAAGUGCAUGCUCCGUACCUUAAGAAAGAAAUCCAUGUGAUAAGCACCGGUGAAAAAUAUAAUCUUUAUAUUUUGAAACACAAUAGAAGCAGCAGCAACAGAAUUUCAAAGUUGGCUCUGUGCAGCCUACUGAAAGUUUAAAGCCCCGAG